AAUCAACGCUGGCGGCAUGCCUAACACAUGCAAGUCGAACGCGACGAGGGCUUCGGCCUAAGUUGAGUGGCGAACGGGUGAGUAACACGUGGGUGACCUACCUUCGAAUGGGGGAUAACGCCCCGAAAGGGACGCUAAUACCGCAUAACAUCCCGCUCUUGAACGAGUGGAGAUCAAAGCUGGGGAUCGUAAGACCUGGCGUUUGAAGAGGGACCCGCGCCCGAUUAGCUAGUUGGUGAGGUAACGGCUCACCAAGGCGACGAUCGGUAGCCGGCCUGAGAGGGCGGACGGCCACACUGGGACUGAGACACGGCCCAG
Molecule: ribosomal RNA, 318 nt
Filed under: uncultured bacterium
Lineage: Bacteria
Description: bacterial SSU rRNA
Rfam family: Bacterial small subunit ribosomal RNA
Source: RNAcentral